UCAUAACAUACAGGGCUGGCUCUGAUACCAGUUGAAGAAAAAAUUUGUCCAAUCGCAUUGGAUGUCAGGAAGAUAGAAUAAAUUAAUAAUUAAAAUUUUCAUAAUAUUUAUGAAUUCACCUUGAUUUAUAGAAAAAAAAAUUAAGGUUGAAGAAGCUACUCAAAUAAUAUGCUUCACAAGAUCCGGAUGCACGGAUCCUCUACUUCGCGUGCACGCCAAAUGCUGUGAGAGAGAGGAAUGAACUCUUUUUUUAGAGAGGAAGGAGAAGAACACUUAAGAUCUGAUCUCAAGUCCUUGGAAUAGCCCACAUGCCACCACAAAGGGAGGGAGGAUGCCAAGAGGAGAGAGACAUCCAGUGCUGGGUGACGCCCAAG
RNAcentral lists this long non-coding RNA (374 nucleotides) under Elaeis guineensis (African oil palm). Its description in RNAcentral is "long non-coding RNA (EGUI_LNC082642)". The record is from RNAcentral. Lineage: Eukaryota; Viridiplantae; Streptophyta; Magnoliopsida; Arecales; Arecaceae.